Molecule: ribosomal RNA, 641 nt
Filed under: uncultured bacterium
Lineage: Bacteria
Description: bacterial SSU rRNA
Rfam family: Bacterial small subunit ribosomal RNA
Source: RNAcentral
AGUCGAACGGAUUCUUCGGAAUCAGUGGCGGACGGGUGAGUAACGCGUGAGAAUCUGCCUUCAGGAUGGGGACAACAGUUGGAAACGGCUGCUAAUACCGAAUGUGUCGCAAGAUGAAAGAUUAAUUGCCUGAAGAUGAGCUCGCGUCUGAUUAGCUAGUUGGUGGGGUAAGAGCCUACCAAGGCGACGAUCAGUAGCUGGUCUGAGAGGAUGAUCAGCCACACUGGGACUGAGACACGGCCCAGACUCCUACGGGAGGCAGCAGUGGGGAAUUUUCCGCAAUGGGCGAAAGCCUGACGGAGCAACGCCGCGUGAGGGAGGAAGGCUCUUGGGUUGUAAACCUCUUUUCUCAAGGAAGAUAAUGACGGUACUUGAGGAAUCAGCAUCGGCUAACUCCGUGCCAGCAGCCGCGGUAAUACGGAGGAUGCAAGCGUUAUCCGGAAUAAUUGGGCGUAAAGCGUUCGUAGGUGGUGAUGUAAGUCUGCUGUUAAAGCGUGUAGCUUAACUACAUAUAGGCGGUGGAAACUACAUGACUAGAGUGCGUUCGGGGCAGAGGGAAUUCCUGGUGUAGCGGUGAAAUGCGUAGAUAUCAGGAAGAACACCGGCGGCGAAGGCGCUCUGCUAGGCCGUAACUGACACUG